CAAUGGGCGAAAGCCUGACGGUGCGACGCCGCGUGAAGGAUGAAGUCCCUCGGGAUGUAAACUUUAAUGGUAUGUUAGGAAGCGAGCCGGUCUAAUACACCGGCGAGUUGACCCGCGUACGAAAGGGGCGGCUAACUCCGUGCCAGCAGCCGCGGUAAGACGGAGGCCCCAAGCGUUGUUCGGAAUCACUGGGCUUAAAGGGCGUGUAGGCGGAGCGGUCAGUACCUUGUGAAAUCCCCGGCUUCAAUCCGGGAACUGCUCGGUAUACUGCCGUUCUUGAGGCAGGUAGGGGUCACUGGAACCUUAGGUGGAGCGGUGAAAUGCGUAGAUAUCUAAGGGAACGCCUGUGGCGAAAGCGGGUGACUGGGCCUGUCCUGACGCUGAAACGCGAAAGCGUAGGGAGCAAAAGGGAUUAGAUACCCCUGUAGUC
This 430-nucleotide ribosomal RNA is filed under the name uncultured bacterium. RNAcentral's name for it is "bacterial SSU rRNA". It matches the Rfam family "Bacterial small subunit ribosomal RNA", at positions 369 to 795 of the family's 1533-position model. The record is from RNAcentral.